GUUGUCACACAGGCUGCAGUGGGAGGUUCGAGGAGGCCGGAACAUUUUACAAGUGAAGCAGUAUUUGAGCUUUACCACCUGCUGGUUGAUGAGGAUCUCCUUUGUGCGGGGAGGAGGGCGAUACGUAGAGGAUCCUGAGCUUCAUCAGGGGUGGCCCUGGGUAGAAUGCCCGGGUCUGUAAAGCUGGUUCUCAGGAGGGAGACGACCACGAACCCAAACAGCAUCACACCAAUCACGGGGAUGAAGACGGUGAGAUGCUCCACUAGGAAUGGGCAACUGGGAGAGAGAGAGAGAGAGAGAGAGAGACAUGAGAGGGUUUAAACCAGCAACCAUCACCCAAAGAUGGAAUGAACAGAGUUUACAGAAUGAAUCACACAUGACAUCGGUCCAACUUCCGCAUGCAUACAGCCACCGUCCGGGUUGCAGUCAGUACUUAAAUUGAAUCAUGAGAAUUGUGCAGACACUCACUCAAACGCAAAGAAAAGGCCACACGUGACAACAAUAAGGCCCAGUGUCAUAGGAAGGACGCCGCUUUGUCUGGCCAGGAUGAUCCGGCCAUCGCAGAAAAAUCGGUUCUUCCCUGGGAACACUUCCCACUUCCUCACCGGCCGCUGCUCCUUCUUCUCGGCGUGGUUCUGGGCGGACGCGGGCGACACCGACAGAGCCCGCGGGUCGAUCUGCUGGUACUCGCAGUUCUUCAUCGUGUAAACAGUAUCGGCGCGGUUCGCGGGUCGCUAAAGGCACAGCUCAACGCUCGCUCCGCCCGGCAGUCCUCCUCCUAGGACUCGCUCGUCGCACAUCUGAUGUUCCGCUCGUUCGGCUAGCGUUCAGUUACUCAUCCUGGAAGCUAACGCUGGCUAGCAGCGGGACCACCACACGCAUUCCGCUCCGCCUUUUACCAACUGCUCCUCUUCGUGCGUUGGCGCCAGGCUAACCACCAUCGUUGGCGGCUAACUUAAAUAUUAGCGCUCAUAUUGUCAAAACAACGUGGAGUUUUUUUUUUAACAGAGAACUCGAGUCCAACGGGCGCGUCUCAGCUCCGGCUCUUCUUGCGGUAGUUCACGUUUCCCCUUGCUUUGACCGUAAGCCGACGUACGUCGUGACGUGCGCGUGGACGUGCGCGUGGACGCGCCCACGAAGCUCGGCGCCGAUGUAGCAACGCCGCAGUUAAGAGGAAGGAUGAUUUGUAGAUUAACGGUAAACAGCGCUUCUGCGUCUAUAAUGACGUAGUUCCACGUUUUAUAUGGCUUUAAAUAACUAACCCUCACAGGCCACUUUAUUAAGUGCACCUGUUCAGCCUGAUUCACUCCCAUAAAGCAACUCUGCCAGUAAUUCUGCGCUAUUGUUGCCCAUUUUUUAAGCUGAAGCUGUUAGAAGCACCACAAUUCCUCUAUCUGUUCAUUAUUAGGUCGCGGCGUGUUGUGAAGUCAUAAUAGCGUGCAUUGCAUUUUAAUAUUUUGACCACAUAUUUCAUUUUUAUAUGUGGUUGUAAUUUUACAUCAUUGCCUCCAGAAAAAUGAACGUAGACCUGAGGGUCAUUUAUCAAGGAAAUGUUUAUUUUUUUUAAUGUCCCAAACUAUAACUUGGGAAAGGUCUUCCAAACAUGCAGUGCAAUAUUAGAUAAAUAGGCAAAAAGUUUCAACAAGAAAUUGCAAUAUUCUUUUCAAAUGCAAUAGGUCUUCUUCCUUUUACAUUUAAAACGAAUGGAUUUAUAAAAGGAAACAAAUUUACAACGAGUGUCUCAUUAAGAUUCAUGUGUGUAAAUCAAACUAGUUGACCACUGUGUGUAUAAUGCAUCAUGCCAGUCAGAUCUAUGUAGGACUGGGCAACAUAACCAUAAUAGGCAUAUGCAUUAUUUGUAGUCCAGUUCUGCAAUUUGGAUUAAUUU
This is a long non-coding RNA of Betta splendens (Siamese fighting fish), 1888 nucleotides long. RefSeq lists it as uncharacterized. The record is from RefSeq and is a predicted model, not a curated record. The transcript is spliced from 2 exons. Lineage: Eukaryota; Metazoa; Chordata; Actinopteri; Anabantiformes; Osphronemidae.